UGGGAUGGCGAUGCGUCCGAUUAGCUGGUUGGCGGGGUAACGGCCCACCAAGGCGACGAUCGGUAGGGGUUCUGAGAGGAAGGUCCCCCACAUUGGAACUGAGACACGGUCCAAACUCCUACGGGAGGCAGCAGUGAGGAAUAUUGGUCAAUGGGCGGAAGCCUGACCCAGCAACGCCGCGUGAAGGAAGAAGGCUUUCGGGUUGUAAACUUCUUUUGUCAGGGACGAAUCAAUGACGGUACCUGACGAAUAAGCCACGGCUAACUACGUGCCAGCAGCCGCGGUAAUACGUAGGUGGCAAGCGUUAUCCGGAUUUAUUGGGUGUAAAGGGCGUGUAGGCGGGACUGCAAGUCAGAUGUGAAAACCACGGGCCCAACCUGUGGCCUGCAUUUGAAACUGUAGUUCUUGAGUGUCGGAGAGGCAAUCGGAAUUCCGUGUGUAGCGGUGAAAUGCGUAGAUAUACGGAGGAACACCAGUGGCGAAGGCGGAUUGCUGGACGAUAACUGACGCUGAGGCGCGAAAGCGUGGGGAGCAAACAGG
RNAcentral lists this ribosomal RNA (540 nucleotides) under uncultured bacterium. Its description in RNAcentral is "bacterial SSU rRNA". It matches the Rfam family "Bacterial small subunit ribosomal RNA", at positions 221 to 776 of the family's 1533-position model. The record is from RNAcentral.